Molecule: ribosomal RNA, 470 nt
Filed under: uncultured bacterium
Lineage: Bacteria
Description: bacterial SSU rRNA
Rfam family: Bacterial small subunit ribosomal RNA
Source: RNAcentral
GAUGAACGCUGGCGGCGUGCUUAACACAUGCAAGUCGAACGAAGCACUCUAUUUGAUUUUCUUCGGAAAUGAAGAUUUUGUGACUGAGUGGCGGACGGGUGAGUAACGCGUGGGUAACCUGCCUCAUACAGGGGGAUAACAGUUGGAAACGACUGCUAAUACCGCAUAAGCGCACAGGAUCGCAUGAUCCGGUGUGAAAAACUCCGGUGGUAUGAGAUGGACCCGCGUCUGAUUAGCCAGUUGGCAGGGUAACGGCCUACCAAAGCGACGAUCAGUAGCCGACCUGAGAGGGUGACCGGCCACAUUGGGACUGAGACACGGCCCAAACUCCUACGGGAGGCAGCAGUGGGGAAUAUUGCACAAUGGGGGAAACCCUGAUGCAGCGACGCCGCGUGAGCGAAGAAGUAUUUCGGUAUGUAAAGCUCUAUCAGCAGGGAAGAAGAAUGACGGUACCUGACUAAGAAGCACCG